GUUUCCCAUUUUGCCCCUCCGCAGUCUGCGCUCACUUGUCGUGACUCUCCACACUCACUGUCUCACCAGUCGCUCCCUGAAUCCCUAGCUCCUCCGACGUCGCCGCCCAAAUCCCUAGCUCCUCCGACUCGCCGCCCAAAUCCCCAGCUCCUCCGAUGUCGCCGCCCGCAUCCCCCUCGCCCGCGUGGCCGCCCGCAUCCUUCUCGCCCACGUCGCCGUAGCCCUCGUCGCCUCUUCCUCUCGCCCCGCGUCACCUCUCGAUGGAGUUAAAGGUGCCUUUUUUAGUCAAGCCGAGAGGAGCGCGGGCACCAACGGCGGCGAGGACCAGCGGGAGGAGCUAUGCUGCUGGCUGGAUCUGAAGUUGUUGUAUACUCAGCGGGAGUAUGAAGUAGGAGGCCGUCGCCCGUCGCCGUGAGCUGGAGCAGGAGGAGCGCAGGCACGGCGGCCUGGUCGACGACGACAACAUGUCCAGCCCGUGCAAGGCCAGCAAGGGCACGUGAAGCAGCAGGACGUCCUACUCGACGACGGCGGCAACGAACACCGGCGUUCCUCGCCGCCCUCGACCCCAGCAUAUCGAGCGCGUGAAUUUACAGUAAAAUUUACUCCAGGGAGCAAGAUCACAUUACUGCAGUUAGGGGCGAGGCAAGGAGAACCUGCCUGGAGACCACGUGCUGCGUAGUGACGAGCCAGGUGGGCUGGGCACGGCGAGGACCAAGCUGAGGGGGCGGCGACCAAGCUGGGCGCGGAGGCGACCAAGCUGAGGCGGAGGCGACCAAACUGGGUGCCUGGGCGCGGGGCCGAGCGCCUGGAAACGGGGCCGAGCGCCUGGAUGAUGGGGACGAUGCGUGCUCGUGGAGGAGGGGGACGACGCAAGCUACUGGAGGAGGGGGACGGUGCAAGCUUCUGGAGGAAGACGACGACACGAGCUCCUGGAGGAAGACGACGGCAUGAGCUCCUGGAGGAUGGGGACGACGCGAGCUCCUGGAGGAUGGGGACGACGCGAGCUCCUGGGGGAUGGGGACGGCACGAGCUCCUGGGGGAAGGGGAUGGCGCGAGCUCCUGGGGGAUGGGGACGGCGCGAGCUCCUGGAGGAGGAAGACGACGCGAAUUCAAAUCGAGGGUAAAAUGGUUUAAUUUUCCAUUUGUCGGCUGUGUCCUAAAAUUGUAAACGCUCUUAUAAAAGUUUACAGAGGGAGUAGUUAAGUUCUCCAAAUCGUUGCCAGAGUUGGAUAAUGGAUACUGCAUUGCCUUCUUAAUAAAUUUGUUCAUCCUGAUAGGGACAUUGCAUUACCUUC
Long non-coding RNA from Triticum aestivum (bread wheat), 1295 nucleotides. RefSeq lists it as uncharacterized. The record is from RefSeq and is a predicted model, not a curated record. The transcript is spliced from 3 exons. NCBI's taxonomy places the organism in Eukaryota, Viridiplantae, Streptophyta, Magnoliopsida, Poales, Poaceae.